GCGGAGGGACGUCCCAUCGCUCUUUUCUUUAGAGAAAAGGGAGGAAAGUCCGGGCAGGAAAGGGCAAGGUCCUGUGGAAAGCACAGGUAGCCGUAAGGUUACGGAUCGUCUGACAGAAAACAACCGCCGACGGGUCUUUUGACCCGGGCAAGGGUGAAAAGGUGGAGUAAGAGCCCACCGUGACGGUUGGCGACAGCCGUUGACGCAGGCACCGACCUCCUGCAAGGCCAAGUAUACCGGCAAUCUCAGAGCGGCCCGUUCUGUGCCGGGGGGUAGGCUGCUUAGACAAAUGAUGGGAGUUGGACAGAACCCGGCUUACAGGCCCUCCGCUUUU
RNAcentral lists this RNase P RNA (334 nucleotides) under Bacteroidales bacterium. RNAcentral describes it as "RNase P RNA component class A". It matches the Rfam family "Bacterial RNase P class A". From Rfam's summary of the family: Ribonuclease P (RNase P) is a ubiquitous endoribonuclease, found in archaea, bacteria and eukarya as well as chloroplasts and mitochondria. Its best characterised activity is the generation of mature 5'-ends of tRNAs by cleaving the 5'-leader elements of precursor-tRNAs. Cellular RNase Ps are ribonucleoproteins. The record is from RNAcentral. Lineage: Bacteria; Pseudomonadati; Bacteroidota; Bacteroidia; Bacteroidales.